AGCUUGCUCCCCUUGAUGUUUAGCGGCGGACGGGUUUAGUAACACGUUGGGUAACCUGCCUGUAAGACUGGGAUAACUCCGGGAAACCGGGGCUAAUACCGGAUGGUUGUUUGAACCGCAUGGUUCAGACAUAAAAGGUGGCUUCGGCUACCACUUACAGAUGGACCCGCGGCGCAUUAGCUAGUUGGUGAGGUAACGGCUCACCAAGGCGACGAUGCGUAGCCGACCUGAGAGGGUGAUCGGCCACACUGGGACUGAGACACGGCCCAGACUCCUACGGGAGGCAGCAGUAGGGAAUCUUCCGCAAUGGACGAAAGUCUGACGGAGCAACGCCGCGUGAGUGAUGAAGGUUUUCGGAUCGUAAAGCUCUGUUGUUAGGGAAGAACAAGUGCCGUUCAAAUAGGGCGGCACCUUGACGGUACCUAACCAGAAAGCCACGGCUAACUACGUGCCAGCAGCCGCGGUAAUACGUAGGUGGCAAGCGUUGUCCGGAAUUAUUGGGCGUAAAGGGCUCGCAGGCGGUUUCUUAAGUCUGAUGUGAAAGCCCCCGGCUCAACCGGGGAGGGUCAUUGGAAACUGGGGAACUUGAGUGCAGAAGAGGAGAGUGGAAUUCCACGUGUAGCGGUGAAAAUGCGUAGAGAUGUGGAGGAACACCAGUGGCGAAGGCGACUCUCUGGUCUGUAACUGACCGCUGAGGAGCGAAAGCGUGGGGAGCCGAACAGGAAUUAGAUACCCCUGUUAGUCCCACGCCGUAAACGAUGAGUGCUAAGUGUUAGGGGGUUUCCCGCCCCUUAGUGCUGCAGCUUAACGCAUUAAGCACUCCCGACCUUGGGGAA
Molecule: ribosomal RNA, 836 nt
Filed under: Bacillus siamensis
Lineage: Bacteria; Bacillati; Bacillota; Bacilli; Caryophanales; Bacillaceae
Description: bacterial SSU rRNA
Rfam family: Bacterial small subunit ribosomal RNA
Source: RNAcentral